This 138-nucleotide transfer RNA is filed under the name Nanobdellota archaeon. RNAcentral describes it as "tRNA-Leu". It matches the Rfam family "tRNA". From Rfam's summary of the family: Transfer RNA (tRNA) molecules are approximately 80 nucleotides in length. Their secondary structure includes four short double-helical elements and three loops (D, anti-codon, and T loops). Lineage: Archaea; Nanobdellati; Nanobdellota. The record is from RNAcentral.
GCAGGGAUACCCAAGCGGUCAAACGAUGGCUGGCGCGAAUAAGAAAAGUUACUCUGCGCGCCGGACAUUGGUUCAAAGGGGGUAGCCUCAAGAGCUACUGGCUUAGUGCCUUCGAAGGUUCGAAUCCUUCUCCCUGCA